GUAAGGAAUAUUGGACAAUGGACGCAAGUCUGAUCCAGCCAUGCCGCGUGAAGGAUUAAGGUCCUCUGGAUUGUAAACUUCUUUUAUAAGGGACGAAAAAAGGCUUUUCUAAGUCGUCUGACGGUACCUUAUGAAUAAGCACCGGCUAACUCCGUGCCAGCAGCCGCGGUAAUACGGAGGGUGCAAGCGUUAUCCGGAUUCACUGGGUUUAAAGGGUGCGUAGGCGGGCAGGUAAGUCAGUGGUGAAAUCCUAGAGCUUAACUCUAGAACUGCCAUUGAUACUAUCUGUCUUGAAUAUUGUGGAGGUAAGCGGAAUAUGUCAUGUAGCGGUGAAAUGCUUAGAUAUGACAUAGAACACCUAUUGCGAAGGCAGCUUACUACGCAUAUAUUGACGCUGAGGCACGAAAGCGUGGGGAUCAAACAGGAUUAGAAACCCCAGUAGUCC
This 445-nucleotide ribosomal RNA is filed under the name uncultured bacterium. RNAcentral describes it as "bacterial SSU rRNA". It matches the Rfam family "Bacterial small subunit ribosomal RNA", at positions 354 to 796 of the family's 1533-position model. The record is from RNAcentral.